GACGAACGCUGGCGGCGUGCUUAACACAUGCAAGUCGAACGGAAAGGCCCUGCUUUUGUGGGGUGCUCGAGUGGCGAACGGGUGAGUAACACGUGAGUAACCUGCCCUUGACUUUGGGAUAACUUCAGGAAACUGGGGCUCAUACCGGAUAUGAUCUCCUGCUGCAUGUUGGGCGUUGGAAAGUUUCGGCGGUUGGGGAUGGACUCGCGGCUUAUCCGCUUGUUGGUGGGGUAGUGGCUUACCAAGGCUUUGACGGGUAGCCGGCCUGAGAGGGUGAACGGCCACAUGGGGACUGAGAUAGGGCCCAGACGCCUACGGGAGGCAGCAGUGGGGAGUAUGGCACAAUGGGCGGAAGCCUGAUGCAGCAACGCCGCGUGCGGGAUGACGGCCUUCGGGUUGUAAACCGAUUUCGCCUGUGACGAAGCGGGAGUGACGGUAAUGGGUAAAGAAGCACCGGCUAACUACGUG
This 468-nucleotide ribosomal RNA is filed under the name uncultured bacterium. Its description in RNAcentral is "partial 16S ribosomal RNA". It matches the Rfam family "Bacterial small subunit ribosomal RNA", at positions 28 to 507 of the family's 1533-position model. The record is from RNAcentral.